AGAGAUGUGUGAUGACGCAUAUCAAUAAGCGGAGGAAAAGAAACUAACAAGGAUUCCCUUAGUAACGGCGAGUGAAGCGGGAAGAGCUCAAAUUUGAAAUCUUCAAGGUUCUACCUUGACGAAUUGUAGUUUAUAGAAGUGUUUUCUGUUAGUAGAGUGGCAAAAGUUCUUUGGAAUAGGACAUCAUAGAGGGUGAGAAUCCCGUAUUUGGUCAUUCUUUCUAGCUUUGUGAUACACUUUCAACGAGUCGGAUUGUUUGGGAAUGCAGUCCAAAAUGGGUGGUAAAUUUCAUCUAAAGCUAAAUAUUGGCGAGAGACCGAUAGCGAACAAGUACCGUGAGGGAAAGAUGAAAAGAACUUUGAAAAGAGAGUUAAACAGUACGUGAAAUUGUCAAAAGGGAAGCGUUUGACACCAGUGUUGUUUAGUUGAAAAUCAAUUCAAUAAUUUUUGAUUUUAAGUAGUAUUGACUUCAUCAGCUUGCUGCUUUCUUUUCGGAAAUUAUUGAAUGCACUUUUCAGUUAACAAGUCAACAUCAAUUUCUUUUGUUGUAAAAGGGUAAGAGGAAGGUGGCUUACGCUUCGGCGUAAGUGUUUAUAGCCUUUUACCUCUGCAAUCGGAGAGAUUGAGGACAGCAGCGUAGACUCUUCGGGGUUAGAUACAUUUGUGCUAAGUUAUAGCCUUUCAUAGACAACUUGUUGACUAUGAUCAGUCAUGUAGCUUACUCGCUUAUGCUAUUUUACCUACGCUUAGGAUGUUGACGAUCAGCUGAGCGCG
Molecule: ribosomal RNA, 774 nt
Filed under: uncultured Neocallimastigales
Lineage: Eukaryota; Fungi; Neocallimastigomycota; Neocallimastigomycetes; Neocallimastigales
Description: partial large subunit ribosomal RNA
Rfam family: Eukaryotic large subunit ribosomal RNA
Source: RNAcentral